CCUACGGGCGGCUGCAGUGGGGAAUAUUGCACGAUGGGCGCAAGCCUGAUGCAGCCAUGCCGCGUGUGUGAAGAAGGCCUUCGGGUUGUAAAGCACUUUCAGCGGGGAGGAAGGCGGUGAGGUUAAUAACCUCAUCGAUUGACGUUACCCGCAGAAGAAGCACCGGCUAACUCCGUGCCAGCAGCCGCGGUAAUACGGAGGGUGCAAGCGUUAAUCGGAAUUACUGGGCGUAAAGCGCACGCAGGCGGUCUGUCAAGUCGGAUGUGAAAUCCCCGGGCUCAACCUGGGAACUGCAUUCGAAACUGGCAGGCUAGAGUCUUGUAGAGGGGGGUAGAAUUCCAGGUGUAGCGGUGAAAUGCGUAGAGAUCUGGAGGAAUACCGGUGGCGAAGGCGGCCCCCUGGACAAAGACUGACGCUCAGGUGCGAAAGCGUGGGGAGCAAACAGGAUUAGAUACCCGAGUAGUC
This 465-nucleotide ribosomal RNA is filed under the name uncultured Klebsiella sp. RNAcentral's name for it is "bacterial SSU rRNA". It matches the Rfam family "Bacterial small subunit ribosomal RNA", at positions 338 to 795 of the family's 1533-position model. The record is from RNAcentral. Lineage: Bacteria; Pseudomonadati; Pseudomonadota; Gammaproteobacteria; Enterobacterales; Enterobacteriaceae.